Molecule: ribosomal RNA, 301 nt
Filed under: uncultured bacterium
Lineage: Bacteria
Description: partial 16S ribosomal RNA
Rfam family: Bacterial small subunit ribosomal RNA
Source: RNAcentral
CAGCAGCCGCGGUAAGACGAACCGUGCGAACGUUAUUCGGAAUCAUUGGGCUUAAAGCGCGUGUAGGCGGAUGGGAACGUCGGUCGCUGAAAUACCCCGGCUCAACCGGGGAACUGGCAUCGAAACGACCCGUCUCGAGGGGCAUAGGGGGAGCUGGAACUUCCGGUGGAGCGGUGAAAUGCGUUGAGAUCGGAAGGAACGCCCGUGGCGAAAGCGAGCUCCUGGAUGUCUUCUGACGCUGAGACGCGAAAGCUAGGGUAGCGAACGGGAUUAGAUACCCCAGUAGUCCCUGUCUCUUAUA